CGACCGGCGCACGGGUGCGUAACGCGCAUACAAUCUACCUUAUACUGGGGGAUAGCCUUUAGAAAUGAAGAUUAAUACCCCAUGGUCUAUAGAUAUGGCAUCAUACUUAUAGUAAAGGUUACGGUAUAAGAUGAGUAUGCGUCCUAUUAGUUAGUUGGUGUGGUAACGGCACACCAAGACUACGAUAGGUAGGGGCCCUGAGAGGGGGAUCCCCCACACUGGUACUGAGACACGGACCAG
RNAcentral lists this ribosomal RNA (240 nucleotides) under uncultured bacterium. RNAcentral describes it as "partial 16S ribosomal RNA". It matches the Rfam family "Bacterial small subunit ribosomal RNA", at positions 92 to 334 of the family's 1533-position model. The record is from RNAcentral.